CAGCAGCACAGACAGAAGGUGCUCCUACAGACAAUAAUGGACGAGGAACACAUGGAAACUAACGUUAGGAAGUAAGCCUAGAUUCUGAGAGUUCACAUGAUGAGGUUGGUGAUGACCCAGAUGUACCACCCCUGAGGAGAACUGACAGCGUAUCCGAACCUCAAGAUCCAACAGAGGACAGCGGACCUCUGAUGAGCCUGGCAGUUUUGAACCUGCAACCACAGAAACCUCAAAGAAGAGGAGUUGGUCAUUGGCAGAGGUCCACGCUGUGGAAAAGACACUAGAAUGUGGUAAAGUACCAGGGAAGUCAGAGUGUGUUGCCUGUAUUAAGGCUUCACCAGGAGCACUUACAAAAUAGAAUUAUUUUGGUUUCCUUUCAUAGCAGUAGAGGCUACAAUGAUUUUAGCAGUGACUUGUCUGUCAAAGAUCCAUUAGUCAUAAUUGGCUAAACUGCAUCUAAUGUGUGACUUCACAGCGGUACUAACAAUAUGCAAUUACAGUUUUUUUC
Perca fluviatilis (European perch) is the source of this 508-nucleotide long non-coding RNA. RefSeq lists it as uncharacterized. Lineage: Eukaryota; Metazoa; Chordata; Actinopteri; Perciformes; Percidae. The transcript has 4 exons. The record is from RefSeq and is a predicted model, not a curated record.